CCUACGGGUGGCAGCAGUGAGGAAUAUUGGUCAAUGGGCGGGAGCCUGAACCAGCCAAGUCGCGUGAGUGAUGACGGUCCUACGGAUUGUAAGCCUCUUUUGCCGGGGAGCAAGCGUGCGUUCGUGAACGCGCGUCGAGAGUACCCGGAGGAAAAGCAUGUGCUAACUCCGUGCCAGCAGCCGCGGUAAUACGGAGGAUGCGAGCGUUAUCCGGAUGUAUUGGGUUUAAAGGGUGCGUAGGCGGACGCUUAAGUCAGCGGUAAAAUUGCGGGGCUAACCCUCGUCGAGCCGUUGAAACUGGGUGCCUUGAGUGGGCGAGAAGUACGCGGAAUGCGUGGUGUAGCGGUGAAAUGCAUAGAUAUCACGCAGAACUCCGAUUGCGAAGGCAGCGUACCGGCGCCCAACUGACGCUGAAGCACGAAGGCGUGGGUAUCGAACAGGAUUAGAUACCCGGGUAGUC
RNAcentral lists this ribosomal RNA (460 nucleotides) under uncultured bacterium. RNAcentral's name for it is "partial 16S ribosomal RNA". It matches the Rfam family "Bacterial small subunit ribosomal RNA", at positions 338 to 795 of the family's 1533-position model. The record is from RNAcentral.